This 601-nucleotide ribosomal RNA is filed under the name uncultured bacterium. Its description in RNAcentral is "bacterial SSU rRNA". It matches the Rfam family "Bacterial small subunit ribosomal RNA", at positions 734 to 1339 of the family's 1533-position model. The record is from RNAcentral.
GUGCGAUUGACGCUGAGGCUCGAAAGUGCGGGUAUCAAACAGGAUUAGAUACCCUGGUAGUCCGCACUGUAAACGAUGGAUGCUCGUUCUGGGCGACAGACAGUCCGGGACCAAGGGAAACCAUUAAGCAUCCCACCUGGGGAGUACGCCGGCAACGGUGAAACUCAGAGGAAUUGACGGGGGCCCGCACAAGCGGAGGAACAUGUGGUUUAAUUCGAUGAUACGCGAGGAACCUUACCCGGGCUUGAACUGCACUAGACGAAUGUAGAGAUACAUUUUCCCUUCGGGGCUGGUGUGGAGGUGCUGCAUGGUUGUCGUCAGCUCGUGCCGUGAGGUGUCGGCUUAAGUGCCAUAACGAGCGCAACCCUUGCUGCCAGUUGCCAUCAUGUAGUGGUGGGCACUCUGGCGGGACUGCCAUCGCAAGAUGUGAGGAAGGUGGGGAUGACGUCAAAUCAGCACGGCCCUUACGUCCGGGGCUACACACGUGUUACAAUGGGGGGCACAGCGCGCCGCUACCCGGUGACGGGAUGCGAAUCGUGAAAUCCCCUCUCAGUUCGGACUGGAGUCUGCAACCCGACUCCACGAAGCUGGAUUCGCUAGU